This is a long non-coding RNA of Malus domestica (apple), 591 nucleotides long. RefSeq lists it as uncharacterized. The record is from RefSeq and is a predicted model, not a curated record. NCBI's taxonomy places the organism in Eukaryota, Viridiplantae, Streptophyta, Magnoliopsida, Rosales, Rosaceae.
CUCAAACAGUGGAGUCAUUGAUGUGCCUCCAAAACUGGUUAAGAAGUGAACCAAUUGGCAACAUUGAGUAUGAAGUAAGUCCUGCAGAGCUUGAAUUUUAUCAAGAGUGUGAAGAAGGUAAUUAUUUUGUUUUGUAUAGUUUGGUUUAUAAGUUUAUAUUAAUUGGUUUACAAUUAACUUUUGUUCUUUGUUGUAGAAUAUAAAAGAAGAAAAGCAAAUAUUAAAUCUACAAGUUCAACCAUUUCAUCAAGUGUUCCUGAAAUUGAAGCUCCUCAAACAACUCGAACGAACAAAGGAAAAGGAAUUGCGAUUCAAUGAGGAAUUGAGGAUUGUUGUUGGAACUUGGGCAUUGGAUGUGGUUUUAAUUUGAAAUUUAUUGCGGAUGUCAUGUUUAUGUUGUUUUGGAUUAUUUGAUUUUUGGAAUUUGGAUGUCUUGGACUUUUGGAUAUUGUGUAUGUGGAUUUCAUUUUUAGAUGUUGGAGGACGAUGUAAUAUUGUUAUUUUGGAUGUAUUGUUAAAACUUAAUUUAUGAACUUGGAUAUUAGACUUUGUAUUUAGAUUAGAUGUGAAUAAUGGUGAAUUUGUGCAAAA